This 343-nucleotide unclassified non-coding RNA is filed under the name soil metagenome. Its description in RNAcentral is "partial contains 5.8S ribosomal RNA, internal transcribed spacer 2, and large subunit ribosomal RNA". The stretch from base 1 to 120 matches the Rfam family "5.8S ribosomal RNA", at positions 35 to 154 of the family's 154-position model. The record is from RNAcentral.
GAUGAAGAACGUAGCGAAAUGCGAUAAGUAAUGUGAAUUGCAGAAUCCAGUGAAUCAUCGAAUCUUUGAACGCACAUUGCGCCCGCCAGCAUUCUGGCGGGCAUGUCUGUUCGAGCGUCAUUUCAACCCUCGACCUCCCUUUGGGGAAGUCGGCGUUGGGGACCGGCAGCACACCGCCGGCCCUGAAAUGGAGUGGCGGCCCGUCCGCGGCGACCUCUGCGUAGUAAACCAACUCGCACCGGAACCCCGACGUGGCCACGCCGUAAAACACCCAACUUCUGAACGUUGACCUCGAAUCAGGUAGGACUACCCGCUGAACUUAAGCAUAUCAAUAAGCGGAGGA